GACGAACGCUGGCGGCGCGCUUAACACAUGCAAGUCGAACGGAAAGGCCUGCUUUCCCUUGUGGAUUGCGGGUACUCGAGUGGCGAACGGGUGAGUAACACGUGAGUGAUCUGCCCCCAACUUGGGUAUAAGCCUGGGAAACUGGGUCUAAUUCCCGAUAGGACUGCAGGGUGGUGCCUGUGGUGGAAAACGAUUUUCUAGUGGUUGGGGAUGAGCUCGCGGCCUAUCAGCUUGUUGGUGGGGUAAUGGCCUACGAAGGCGGCGACGGGUAGCCGGCCCGGGAGGGUGGACGGCCACAUUGGGACUGAGAUACGGCCCAUACUCCUACGGGAGGAAGCAGUGGGGAAUAAUGCACAAUGGGCGGAAGCCUGAUGCAGCGACGCCGCGUGGGGGAUGACGGCCUUCGGGUUGUAAACUCCUUUCGACCGCGAGGAAGCCACCUGGUUGGAAGGGUGGUGACGGUAGUGGUAGAAGAAGCACCGGCUAACUACGUG
RNAcentral lists this ribosomal RNA (494 nucleotides) under uncultured bacterium. RNAcentral describes it as "partial 16S ribosomal RNA". It matches the Rfam family "Bacterial small subunit ribosomal RNA", at positions 28 to 507 of the family's 1533-position model. The record is from RNAcentral.